This 377-nucleotide ribosomal RNA is filed under the name uncultured bacterium. RNAcentral's name for it is "partial 16S ribosomal RNA". It matches the Rfam family "Bacterial small subunit ribosomal RNA", at positions 524 to 898 of the family's 1533-position model. The record is from RNAcentral.
UACGUAGGAGGCGAGCGUUGUCCGGAUUCACUGGGCGUAAAGGGCGCGUAGGCGGCGGCUUGAGUCCCUGCGUGAAAUCUCCCGGCUCAACCGGGAGGGUGCGCGGGAUACUGGGCGGCUUGAGGACAUCAGAGGAGAGCGGAAUCCCCGGUGUAGUGGUGAAAUGCGUAGAUAUCGGGGGGAACACCAGUGGCGAAGGCGGCUCUCUGGGGUGCACCUGACGCUGAUGCGCGAAAGCGUGGGGAGCGAACCGGAUUAGAUACCCGGGUAGUCCACGCCCUAAACGAUGGACACUAGGCGUGGGGGGUAUCGACCCCCCCCGUGCCGCAGCUAACGCGAUAAGUGUCCCGCCUGGGGAGUACGGCCGCAAGGCUAAA